Molecule: unclassified non-coding RNA, 1121 nt
Filed under: Hevea brasiliensis (rubber tree)
Lineage: Eukaryota; Viridiplantae; Streptophyta; Magnoliopsida; Malpighiales; Euphorbiaceae
Source: RNAcentral
AGUUUCAGGCUCUGAAACUCAAUACCAAACAGGGCUUAAGUCUCCCAUAUAAAAUGGGUUGUUGCCAAAAAAUUAUCCACAUCAAUGAAAUGAGAGCUUCUCAUUCAUAUAUCUGCUUUUCCUCUUCCUCUUGUAGUGAAACAAGAAUGACAUGAUUGGAGUGAAACAAAGUAUGUGCUUGGAAAUCAAGGCACAUAAAUAAGUUUUCUUAAUUCACCAAAAUUAUGAAAUUUUUAAAACUAUGAAAUUUUGAAUUUAAACUUCAAUUGUAGUUAAAUAAAUAAAAUAAUAAUAAAUCUGCCUGCUACUGCGAAAUUAUGAUGAUUUGAAAAUUAACACCAUCUAUUUAUGAAGGCCUGAAAUGUACCAUCUUUAUAAAUACAAAGCUAAUGUACACUUCUUGGAGAAGGAUGCAGACUUGCCAGGAAAAGUUGCCUGAUGCAAGAAUUUAAAGAAAGAUUACAGAGAUGAGUUAUAUAGUAAAUAAAGGGAAUGCAAAAAAUAAAACAAAAUAAAAAUAAGAGAAAUGAAAUCAUACAUACAAGAUGAUGUUGAACUACAUCCAUAUUAUUAAAGAGUUCAUAAUUCUUGAAUGGAAGCUCUGCAUAGUCCAAGUCUAUGUCACAGUCCAAUGCAAUCUAUAAGGCAAGAAAUUUUCUGAGUAAUAAAUUAACGAUGUAAAAUGGGCUUACGAACUCUUGACAGAUUAUUAGAUAACAUUAAUUCAUUUUAAUUGAUCAAAUUUAAGGGAAGCACUUGCCUAACCACCAAGAGUAUUGCACCAAAUCAAUGGAUGAGUGCCAAGUACAGAACAAACCUUUAUCUUUGGCGAGGCUAGGCGAAACAGGAACAGCCGAACUCUAAUAUCACCUAUUGCUUUCACUUGAACAACCUUCUUCCUUGCCUUAUCUUGCAACAAACUUUCACUAAUGAUCUGGGAAACAUUCACACAAUGCAGAGAAAUCUGUGUUGUUACUUUAAUGUUGUCACUGUGAGCUGGUUGGUAGAAGCCUGGAACUCUGAUUAGUCCUAUUGGAAUUCCAUGGUAGUAAAUAUUAAGCUUUGAAGGGAUAUAUUUGAUGCCUACUUUGUUGUGGUUUUGAGCAUUUAAGGUCAGGGAG